GGCAGCAGUGGGGAAUUUUGGGCAAUGGGCGCAAGCCUGACCCAGCGACGCCGCGUGGAGGAUGAAGGCCUUCGGGUUGUAAACUCCUGUCAGGUGGGAAGAAGUGCUUCGCGGAUAAUACCCGUGAAGAAUUGACGGUACCACCAAAGGAAGCCCCGGCUAACUCCGUGCCAGCAGCCGCGGUAAUACGGAGGGGGCAAGCGUUAUUCGGAUUUACUGGGCGUAAAGCGCACGUAGGCGGCAGUGUAAGUCACAGGUGAAAUCCCUCGGCUCAACCGAGGAACCGCCUGCGAAACUGCAUUGCUUGAGUCCGGGAGGGGGGAGCGGAAUUCCCAGUGUAGCGGUGAAAUGCGUAGAUACUGGGAGGAACACCGGUGGCGAAAGCGGCUCCCUGGACCGGUACUGACGCUGAGGUGCGAAAGCGUGGGUAGCAAACAGGAUUAGAUACCCUGGUAGUCCACGCCGUAAACGAUGGGCACUAGGUGCAGCGGGUGUCGACCCCUGCUGUGCCGGAGUUAACGCAUUAAGUGCCCCGCCUGGGGAGUACGGUCGCAAGGCUGAAACUCAAAUGAAUUGACGG
Molecule: ribosomal RNA, 580 nt
Filed under: uncultured bacterium
Lineage: Bacteria
Description: bacterial SSU rRNA
Rfam family: Bacterial small subunit ribosomal RNA
Source: RNAcentral